This 253-nucleotide ribosomal RNA is filed under the name uncultured bacterium. Its description in RNAcentral is "partial 16S ribosomal RNA". It matches the Rfam family "Bacterial small subunit ribosomal RNA", at positions 524 to 776 of the family's 1533-position model. The record is from RNAcentral.
UACGUAAGUGGCGAGCGUUAUCCGGAAUUACUGGGCGUAAAGCGUGCGCAGGCGGUUUUGUAAGACAGAUGUGAAAUCCCCGGGCUCAACCUGGGACCUGCAUUUGUGACUGCAUCGCUAGAGUACGGCAGAGGGGGAUGGAAUUCCGCGUGUAGCAGUGAAAUGCGUAGAGAUGCGGAGGAACACCGAUGGCGAAGGCAGCCCCCUGGGCCGACAUUGACGCUCAGGCACGAAAGCGUGGGGAGCAAACAGG